This 28-nucleotide non-coding RNA is filed under the name Mus musculus (house mouse). The record is from RNAcentral. Lineage: Eukaryota; Metazoa; Chordata; Mammalia; Rodentia; Muridae.
UAAACGCCUUUUGUGCCUGUCUACAUUC